AAUUUUGGACAAUGGGGGAAACCCUGAUCCAGCCAUCCCGCGUGUAUGAUGAAGGCCUUCGGGUUGUAAAGUACUUUUGGCAGAGAAGAAAAGGUAUCCCCUAAUACGGGAUACUGCUGACGGUAUCUGCAGAAUAAGCACCGGCUAACUACUUGCCAGCAGCCGCGGUAAUACGUAGGGUGCGAGCGUUAAUCGGAAUUAUGUGCCGUAAACCGUGUGUAGGCGUUUCGGAAAGAAAGAUGUGAAAUCCAAGGGCUCACCAUUGGAACUCCUUUUUUAACUGCCGAGCUAGAGUAGGUCAGAGGGGGGUAGAAUUCACGUGUAGCAGUGAAAUGCGUAGAUAUGUGGAGGAAUACCGAUGGCGAAGGCAGCCCCCUGGGAUAAUACUGACGCUCAGACACGAAAGCGUGGGGAGCAAACAGG
This 423-nucleotide ribosomal RNA is filed under the name uncultured bacterium. Its description in RNAcentral is "partial 16S ribosomal RNA". It matches the Rfam family "Bacterial small subunit ribosomal RNA", at positions 360 to 776 of the family's 1533-position model. The record is from RNAcentral.